ACGAACGCUGGCGGCGUGGAUAAGACAUGCAAGUCGAACGAGACAACAUCUGUAGCAAUACAGGUGUUGUUUAGUGGCGAACGGGUGCGUAACACGUGGGCAAUCUGCCGAGAAGUGGGGGAUAGCUCGCCGAAAGGCGAAUUAAUACCGCAUAUGAUCAGGGAGGACAUCCUCUCGACAUCAAAGCCGGGGCAACCUGGCGCUUCUUGAUGAGCCCGCGGCCUAUCAGCUAGUUGGUGAGGUAACGGCUCACCAAGGCUUUGACGGGUAGCUGGUCUGAGAGGACGACCAGUCACACUGGAACUGAGACACGGUCCAGACACCUACGGGUGGCAGCAGUCGAGAAUUUUUCUCAAUGGGGGCAACCCUGAAGGAGCGACGCCGCGUGGAGGAUGAAGGCUUUCGGGUUGUAAACUCCUGUCAUUUGGGAACAAGCUGCAUCGAUUAACUGUCGAUGCAUUGA
This 463-nucleotide ribosomal RNA is filed under the name uncultured bacterium. RNAcentral describes it as "bacterial SSU rRNA". It matches the Rfam family "Bacterial small subunit ribosomal RNA", at positions 29 to 472 of the family's 1533-position model. The record is from RNAcentral.